GCAUUCAUAGUGUAACCGUAGCACAUUCGGCCCGUAUUCGAGAGGUCCAGGUUCGACUCCUGAUGAGGGCA
RNAcentral lists this transfer RNA (71 nucleotides) under Stegodyphus mimosarum. It matches the Rfam family "tRNA". From Rfam's summary of the family: Transfer RNA (tRNA) molecules are approximately 80 nucleotides in length. Their secondary structure includes four short double-helical elements and three loops (D, anti-codon, and T loops). Lineage: Eukaryota; Metazoa; Arthropoda; Arachnida; Araneae; Eresidae. The record is from Rfam by way of RNAcentral.